GUGGGGAAUAUUGGACAAUGGGCGCAAGCCUGAUCCAGCCAUGUCGCGUGAGUGAUGAAGGCCUUAGGGUUGUAAAGCUCUUUCACCGGUGAAGAUAAUGACGGUAACCGGAGAAGAAGCCCCGGCUAACUUCGUGCCAGCAGCCGCGGUAAUACGAAGGGGGCUAGCGUUGUUCGGAAUUACUGGGCGUAAAGCGCACGUAGGCUGAUAUUUAAGUCAGGGGUGAAAUCCCGGGGCUCAACCCCGGAACUGCCUUUGAUACUGGGUAUCUUGAGUAUGGAAGAGGUCAGUGGAAUUGCGAGUGUAGAGGUGAAAUUCGUAGAUAUUCGCAGGAACACCAGUGGCGAAGGCGGCUGACUGGUCCAUUACUGACGCUGAGGUGCGAAAGCGUGGGGAGCAAACAGGAUUAGAUACCCUUGUAGUCC
RNAcentral lists this ribosomal RNA (425 nucleotides) under uncultured bacterium. RNAcentral describes it as "partial 16S ribosomal RNA". It matches the Rfam family "Bacterial small subunit ribosomal RNA", at positions 354 to 796 of the family's 1533-position model. The record is from RNAcentral.